CUCGAUGGACAUGAGUUUGAGCAAGCUCCAAGAGUUGGUGAUGGACAGGGAGGCCUGGCGUGCUGCAGUCCACGGGGUUGCAAAGAGUCGGAUACAACUGAGCGACUGAACUGAAGUGAACUGAUUCAGCCCAGGGAAGCUACACAGAUGGGAAAAGGAAGAAAAACCAGGAAAAUAAUGGGCAUCCCACGCUCAAACCCCACCAGGUGACCACGCCUGGAGGGGAAAGAAAAAACAUCAGCUUCCAAGAAGAAGCCAACACUACAGCUUCCAGGCCUGGCACAAUCUGGAGCUUCCAGAAAGAACUUCGAAUGAAAUUUAGAGUUUUAACUAACAACCAUGACUAGAUACUUUUAUUCUUUUUAAAAUUUAUUUUAUUGAAGUACAGUUGAUUUACAUUGUCAUGUUAAUUUAUGCUGUACAACAAAGUGAUUCAGUCACACAUAUAUAUAUACAUCCUUUUUCAUAUCUUUUGCAGUAUGAUUUAUCACAGGAUAUUAAAUAUAGUUCCCUGUUCAAUACAGAAGGACCUUGUUGUUUAUCCACUCUAUAUAUACCAGGUUGCAUUGCUAACCCCAACUGCCUACUGCGUCCUUUCCCCUAACCCCUCCCCCUUGGCAACCACCCAUCUGUUCCUCUAUGAUCUCAUGAUUCUGUUUCUGUUUCAUAGAUAAGUUCAUUUGUGUCGAACUUUAGAUUCCACAUAUAAAUGAUAUU
Long non-coding RNA from Bubalus bubalis (water buffalo), 717 nucleotides. RefSeq lists it as uncharacterized. Lineage: Eukaryota; Metazoa; Chordata; Mammalia; Artiodactyla; Bovidae. The transcript is spliced from 3 exons. The record is from RefSeq and is a predicted model, not a curated record.